RNAcentral lists this ribosomal RNA (292 nucleotides) under uncultured bacterium. Its description in RNAcentral is "partial 16S ribosomal RNA". It matches the Rfam family "Bacterial small subunit ribosomal RNA", at positions 505 to 796 of the family's 1533-position model. The record is from RNAcentral.
GUGCCAGCAGCCGCGGUAAUACGGAGGGUGCAAGCGUUAAUCGGAAUUACUGGGCGUAAAGCGCGUGUAGGCGGUCUUGUAAGUCGGAUGUGAAAGCCCCGGGCUCAACCUGGGAACUGCAUUCGAUACUGCAGGACUAGAGUAUGGAAGAGGGAAGCGGAAUUCCGGGUGUAGCGGUGAAAUGCGUAGAUAUCCGGAGGAACACCAGUGGCGAAGGCGGCUUCCUGGUCCAAUACUGACGCUGAGACGCGAAAGCGUGGGGAGCAAACAGGAUUAGAAACCCCCGUAGUCC